UAAAUCAUUCAAGUUUCUGCCCUAUCAGCUUUGGAUGGUAGUGUAUUGGACUACCAUGGCAAUCACGGGUAACGGAGAAUUAGGGUUCGAUUCCGGAGAGGGAGCCUGAGAAACGGCUACCACACCUACGGGAGGCAGCAGGGACGAAAAUUGCCCCAAUCCUGAUUCAGGGAGGCAGUGACAAGAAAUAACAACUCCCAACUUUUGUUGGGAAGUGUAAUGAGGAUAAUUUUACAAACCUUACCGAAAGCAAUUGGAGGACAAGUCUGGUGCCAGCACCCGCGGUAAUUCCAGCUCCAAAAGCGUAUAUUAAAGUUGUUGCAGUUAAAAAGCUCGUAGUUGAAAUUCUGGCUGUAUUGGGCCUUUGCUUUCAUGCGAAGGAACCAGCAGUCAUCCGCUUGCAAGUACAUGCUCUUCCUUAACCGGUAGACUGUAUAAGUAAGCAUUUUACCUUGAGAAAAACAGAGUGUUCCAGGCAGGUUUGUCCGGAAUGCAUUAGCAUGGAAUAAUAGAAUAUGACUGAGGUCGAUUUAUUGG
This 537-nucleotide ribosomal RNA is filed under the name uncultured eukaryote. RNAcentral describes it as "SSU rRNA". It matches the Rfam family "Eukaryotic small subunit ribosomal RNA", at positions 291 to 847 of the family's 1831-position model. The record is from RNAcentral.